GGGGGGUUCGUUUCCCGGAAGGGGAGCCA
This 29-nucleotide unclassified non-coding RNA is filed under the name Dictyostelium discoideum. The record is from RNAcentral. Lineage: Eukaryota; Evosea; Eumycetozoa; Dictyosteliales; Dictyosteliaceae.